AUACGUAGGGAGCGAGCGUUGUCCGGAAUUACUGGGCGUAAAGGGCGCGUAGGCGGCGCUUCAAGUCGUCUGUCAAAUGGAAGGGCUUAACCCUUUUUCGCAGACGAAACUGGAGAGCUUGAGAAGCAGAGAGGCAAACAGAAUUCCUGGUGUAGCGGUGAAAUGCGUAGAUAUCAGGAAGAAUACCAGUGGCGAAGGCGGUUCGCUGGCUGCAUACUGACGCUGAAGCGCGAAAGCCAGGGGAGCGAACGGGAUUAGAUACCCCGGUAGUCCUGGCAGUAAACGAUGUAUGCUGGGUGUGAGACUAGCGAUAGUUUCGUGCCGAAGUUAACGCGAUAAGCAUACCGCCUGGGGAGCACGGUCGCAAGAUUGAAACUCAAAUGAAUUGACGGGG
Molecule: ribosomal RNA, 394 nt
Filed under: uncultured bacterium
Lineage: Bacteria
Description: partial 16S ribosomal RNA
Rfam family: Bacterial small subunit ribosomal RNA
Source: RNAcentral